Small nucleolar RNA from Salarias fasciatus (jewelled blenny), 141 nucleotides. Lineage: Eukaryota; Metazoa; Chordata; Actinopteri; Blenniiformes; Blenniidae. The record is from Ensembl.
UACGCACACUAUUAAAACCGGGCACUGAUGUCGGUGUUCUGGUGUCGGAAGUGUGCAAAAACAAGCAGGCCAGGAUUUCGCUAACACCAUUAGGACUGCUUGUCCCAUGACUGGCGUUUGAUAGUGACCUGGGCCACAUGU